GAUGAACGCUGGCGGCGUGCCUAAUACAUGCAAGUCGAGCGAACAGACGAGGAGCUUACUCCUCUGACGUUAGCGGCGGCCGGGUGAGUAACACGUGGAUAACCUACCUAUAAGACUGGGAUAACUUCGGGAAACCGGAGCUAAUACCGGAUAACAUGUUGAACCGCAUGGUUCAACAGUGAAAGACGGUCUUGCUGUCACUUAUAGAUGGAUCCGCGUCGCAUUAGCUAGUUGGUAAGGUAACGGCUUACCAAGGCAACGAUGCGUAGCCGACCUGAGAGGGUGAUCGGCCACACUGGAACUGAGACACGGUCCAGACUCCUACGGGAGGCAGCAGUAGGGAAUCUUCCGCAAUGGGCGAAAGCCUGACGGAGCAACGCCGCGUGAGUGAAGAAGGUCUUCGGAUCGUAAAACUCCGUUAUUAGGGAAGAACAAAUGUGUAAGUAACUAUGCACGUCUUGACGGUACCUAAUCAGAAAGCCACGGCUAACUACGUG
This 497-nucleotide ribosomal RNA is filed under the name uncultured bacterium. RNAcentral's name for it is "partial 16S ribosomal RNA". It matches the Rfam family "Bacterial small subunit ribosomal RNA", at positions 28 to 507 of the family's 1533-position model. The record is from RNAcentral.